This 119-nucleotide ribosomal RNA is filed under the name Pteropus alecto (black flying fox). Lineage: Eukaryota; Metazoa; Chordata; Mammalia; Chiroptera; Pteropodidae. The record is from RNAcentral.
GUCUAUGGCCAUGCCACCCUGAACAUGCCUGAUCUCGUCUGAUCUCAGAAGCUAAGCAGGGUCAGGCCUGGUUAGUACUUAGAUGGGAGACCAGCUUGAAAUACCAGCUGCUGUAGGCA